RNAcentral lists this ribosomal RNA (1057 nucleotides) under uncultured bacterium. RNAcentral's name for it is "bacterial SSU rRNA". It matches the Rfam family "Bacterial small subunit ribosomal RNA", at positions 23 to 1066 of the family's 1533-position model. The record is from RNAcentral.
CUCAGAUUGAACGCUGGCGGCAGGCCUAACACAUGCAAGUCGAACGGUAACAGGAAGAAGCUUGCUUCUCUGCUGACGAGUGGCGGACGGGUGAGUAAUGUCUGGGAAACUGCCUGAUGGAGGGGGAUAACUACUGGAAACGGUAGCUAAUACCGCAUAACGUCGCAAGACCAAAGAGGGGGACCUUCGGGCCUCUUGCCAUCGGAUGUGCCCAGAUGGGAUUAGCUUGUUGGUGGGGUAACGGCUCACCAAGGCGACGAUCCCUAGCUGGUCUGAGAGGAUGACCAGCCACACUGGAACUGAGACACGGUCCAGACUCCUACGGGAGGCAGCAGUGGGGAAUAUUGCACAAUGGGCGCAAGCCUGAUGCAGCCAUGCCGCGUGUAUGAAGAAGGCCUUCGGGUUGUAAAGUACUUUCGGCGGGGAGGAAGGGAGUAAAGUUAAUACCUUUGCUCAUUGACGUUACCCGCAGAAGAAGCACCGGCUAACUCCGUGCCAGCAGCCGCGGUAAUACGGAGGGUGCAAGCGUUAAUCGGAAUUACUGGGCGUAAAGCGCACGCAGGCGGUUUGUUAAGUCAGAUGUGAAAUCCCCGGGCUCAACCUGGGAACUGCAUCUGAUACUGGCAAGCUUGAGUCUCGUAGAGGGGGGUAGAAUUCCAGGUGUAGCGGUGAAAUGCGUAGAGAUCUGGAGGAAUACCGGUGGCGAAGGCGGCCCCCUGGACGAAGACUGACGCUCAGGUGCGAAAGCGGGGGGAGCAAACAGGAUUAGAUACCCUGGUAGUCCACGCCGUAAACGAUGUCGACCUUGGAGGUUGUGCCCUUGAGGCGUGGCUUCCCGGAGCUAACGCGUUAAAGUCGACCGCCUGGGGAGUACGGCCGCAAGGUUAAAACUCAAAUGAAUUGACGGGGGCCCGCACAAGCGGUGGAGCAUGUGGUUUAAUUCGAUGCAACGCGAAGAACCUUACCUGGUCUUGACAUCCACAGAACUUUCCAGAGAUGGCUUGGUGCCUUCGGGAUCUGUGUGCCCGGUGCUGCCUGGCUGUCGUCAGCUCGUGUU